This 2056-nucleotide long non-coding RNA is filed under the name Monodelphis domestica (gray short-tailed opossum). Its description in RNAcentral is "lncRNA (ENSMODG00000050709.1)". Lineage: Eukaryota; Metazoa; Chordata; Mammalia; Didelphimorphia; Didelphidae. The record is from RNAcentral.
AGAGGUGGCUCUCUCUCUUUCGCAGCAGAGACAUGGCUGGUGGCAGUGUGCUGAGCAUCUUGACGUCUUGGCGUGCCUGCAGAUCUUGUGCAGGUUUGGCGGUGAGCAUCUUGGCAUUGCUCAGGGGUCACCUGAAGGCUCUCCAAGAGGGCAGCUGGACACAGACUCUGGACUCUGGGGUCUACAGGAAGUACCCCUGGGCAGCUACAGGACUGUGAGGGCUGAGGAAGGCCAGAGGCAUCGCAUUUACUCUACAGAGGCAUGUACCUCCUCCUCCACUCAACCUAUCUAGGCUGUUCACCAGCCAUUGCCCCCUGGGCCAUGGCCCCUCCUCCCGUGGCCCCACAGACCAGGCGCACACCAGACAACCACGGCGGAGUUGCAUCACAGCCUGGGCCGAAGGCCUGCUUUCGUAACAGAGAGUCAAGGAAUUGCAGAGUCAUCCAGUUAUUUAAGCCCAAAGGUCACUUGGACUCAAGUCCCUGCAAUGAACCCUGGUGUCCGAAUUCCAGGGAGCCCCGAGUCCACAGAAGGGACCCAGCAGAGCCGUGGCGGAGGACGGGGAGCCCUACCAGGCCGCGGAAGGCCACGCACGCAUCGGGUGCCACCUGUUGGAGCUGGACCACGACGGCCGCCACAGAAGCCCCCCUCACUGGAAGGCGGCGGUGCGGACGAAUGACCCUGGGGAGAGGAGAGGCACCAGUGCCCACACGCGGCACCUCUUUGGGCAUCUGCCCGGGCGGGCAGGAGGGGCCGCCGGCCGACACGCCCAUCCGCUCCAGAGGGAAGAGGCGACCCGACAGGCACUGCCAGGCUGAGCAGCCCGAAGCAGCUGGGGCUCGCCAUCUAGCGGGGGAGGCGGGGGUCCCGGCGGAGGGGGAUUUGGGGGGCCCCAAAGGGACGCCCCGACAAAAAGGGAGCCAGAAGGCGUUGGCGCCUCUCCUAGUGCACAGCCCGGAGCCCUUCAGGCACCCGGACUGGGCGGCACAGGCUGGGGUCCGCAGGCAGGCGCCUUUCUUCCCUCCAGCCCGGGAAGCCCGGCCCCCGUCCGGCUGAAAUGGGGGGCAGCAAGGCCGCGACGGACCCGCGGUGGGCAGCAGGGGGCGGCGGCUCCAGGGUUGGGAGCAGGUUGGCAAGGCCGGGCUGUGGGCGGGGUGGGGGAGGGGAAGAGAUGGCAAAGAUCCGCUGUGGACGGGCACCCCUCGCGGGGGUGUGGGCGAGGGGCGGCCAGAGAAGGGCCUCGAGAGGGGGAGGGGACCCCAGGGACGGCGGGGCCUCGGAUUCCUAGGACAGUCCCUCGCGUGUACUCGGCACUGACUGCGGGCCGGGCACUGCGCCAAGCCUCACUGCCAGGCGCUGGCGCUGGUGUUCUCGUUCUACAGAGGAGGAAACUGAGGCCAGCGGCCGCUCCGUGACUCCCCCAGGGCCCCAGACAAGUACAGAGGAGGCCAGCCUGGACCUCGAGGCAUCCGGGCCGGCGGGCACAUCCAGGGGGCGGCGGUGCCCGACGCCUCUCGGAGCCCCCCGGGGGCGGGCGGGCGGGGGGGACCCCAGAGGAAGGGGAGGCGCGUCCUGAACACGAGGCACCCUGGCUGGCACGGGCACCUCGCCCAGGACUCUUCGAGCCCAGGCUGGGGAGCACUGCUGGAAGCCGCCCCAGGGAAGCUCUUUGCCUGGGGGAGGGAGCCGAGCGAGUGGGAAAUGCUGCCCCUUGUGCCCGCACCAGGCUCUCCUCCCAGCACCCAGCCGGCAGGGCUCAGCAUCCUGCUCCCCGGGCGGGAGGGGUGACGUUGGGGGGGCUCCCCCUCCCCCACCCCCAGACCAGCCCAGGAAGCGAAUCUCCACCCUGGGCGCAGGCCAAGCGGGGCUGCCCAAGGCGGCUGGGGAUGGCCGGGCGGGCGGGCAAGAGGCUCGUCCCCUUGAGAACCCCAGAAACCCCCCAAAACAACAUGGUGCCCCAAACAAGGGGAAAACCGUAGGGGCUCGCCCGGGGCUCCCCAGGGUCCCUCCAGUCCCAGUCCCAGCCUCGGCCCUGGCACCUGCCGCCCAUCACCCA